CAGAAGGUAGUUUAAUAUAAAACACUGGUUUUGGGUGCCAGAGAUAAAGUAAUUUCCUUUUGA
This 63-nucleotide transfer RNA is filed under the name Tropidophis haetianus (Haitian dwarf boa). RNAcentral describes it as "tRNA-Pro". It matches the Rfam family "tRNA". From Rfam's summary of the family: Transfer RNA (tRNA) molecules are approximately 80 nucleotides in length. Their secondary structure includes four short double-helical elements and three loops (D, anti-codon, and T loops). Further hydrogen bonds mediate the characteristic L-shaped molecular structure. tRNAs have two regions of fundamental functional importance: the anti-codon, which is responsible for specific mRNA codon recognition, and the 3' end, to which the tRNAs corresponding amino acid is attached (by aminoacyl-tRNA synthetases). tRNAs cope with the degeneracy of the genetic code in two manners: having more than one tRNA (with a specific anti-codon) for a particular amino acid; and 'wobble' base-pairing, i.e. permitting non-standard base-pairing at the 3rd anti-codon position. Lineage: Eukaryota; Metazoa; Chordata; Lepidosauria; Squamata; Tropidophiidae. The record is from RNAcentral.